GGGACGAACGCUGGCGGCGUGCUUAACACAUGCAAGUCGAGCGGACAUCUUCGGAUGUUAGCGGCGAACGGGUGAGUAACACGUGGGCAACCUGCCCCUAGCUCUGGGAUAACUCCGGGAAACCGGGGCUAAUACUGGAUAUGACCGAUCCAUGCAUGUGGGUUGGUGGAAAGUUUUUCGGCUAGGGAUGGGCCCGCGGCCUAUCAGCUUGUUGGUGGGGUGAUGGCCUACCAAGGCGACGACGGGUA
Molecule: ribosomal RNA, 248 nt
Filed under: uncultured bacterium
Lineage: Bacteria
Description: partial small subunit ribosomal RNA
Rfam family: Bacterial small subunit ribosomal RNA
Source: RNAcentral